Molecule: ribosomal RNA, 455 nt
Filed under: uncultured organism
Description: partial 16S ribosomal RNA
Rfam family: Bacterial small subunit ribosomal RNA
Source: RNAcentral
ACGUACACUCCUGCGGGAGGCAGCAGUGGGGAAUAUUGGACAAUGGGCGCAAGCCUGAUCCAGCCAUGCCGCGUGAGUGAUGAAGGCCCUAGGGUUGUAAAGCUCUUUCACCGGUGAAGAUAAUGACGGUAACCGGAGAAGAAGCCCCGGCUAACUUCGUGCCAGCAGCCGCGGUAAUACGAAGGGGGCUAGCGUUGUUCGGAUUUACUGGGCGUAAAGCGCACGUAGGCGGACUAUUAAGUCAGGGGUGAAAUCCCGGGGCUCAACCCCGGAACUGCCUUUGAUACUGGUAGUCUUGAGUUCGAGAGAGGUGAGUGGAAUUCCGAGUGUAGAGGUGAAAUUCGUAGAUAUUCGGAGGAACACCAGUGGCGAAGGCGGCUCACUGGCUCGAUACUGACGCUGAGGUGCGAAAGCGUGGGGAGCAAACAGGAUUAGAAACCCUAGUAGUCUCAUGA